UUAAGGCAUUCUUAAUAUCAUCCGUAUUCUUAAGCCGAGUUUACAUUGGUAUAGUAAACGGGUUAGUUACUUGUACCAGUAGCUUGUAAGACAACAACUAAAGGGGGAUUUACACGGCUCCAGUAGCUGGAACAAGUACUAAAGCCAGAAACUAAAAUUUAACUAAUGGAACUAUGUAGACACCAUGACUUAGUACUUGAGCAAGUAAGCUUUUUAGUCAGUAGUUUAGUCAAGAGAAUAGAAGCAGGUCCUAUUUACUAGAGCAAGUGGCUUCCCCCACUCUUGUUUCUCGACUCGCUCAAGUGAACUGGACGCGUCUAGACAGGAUCGUUUAGCCCAUUUUAGUAAAGUAUAUUAGUAGGGUUUUAAUUUUGAAUAGCAGCGCCGUACAUCACGUUGCAAUGUCGUCUCGUUAGUCUGAAGAAACAACUGUUCAAUUUGUGCAAGAAUAUAGAGACCAAUCGUGUCUCUAAAACACAAAAAUGUCACUUUACAAACACAAGCAAGCAAGAGAUGCGGCGCUUAAAAUGAUACAAGAUAAUGGACAUUAAAGGUUUGGGGUGAACGAAAUAAAAAACAAAAUAAAAGCAUUGAGAUCCACUUAUUCUCAGGAGAAGAAAAAAAUUAAAGAUUCUAAAAAAUCGGGAGCUGGCUUAGACAGUAUUUAUGUGCCAAAUGUAAAAUGGUUCAUUGAAAUGGACAGUUUCUUGAACAAUUUAGAAGACAAUAAAAGGCCCACUCAAGAUAAUUUAAACACUGUCCACUCUGAAGAAAUGCCCGAUGACAAUGACACACAAGUGGAAGAAGUAUCAGUGGUGUCCGUACCGCCGCCAC
Molecule: long non-coding RNA, 834 nt
Organism: Anthonomus grandis grandis
Lineage: Eukaryota; Metazoa; Arthropoda; Insecta; Coleoptera; Curculionidae
Exons: 2
Source: RefSeq, a predicted model, not a curated record